Molecule: long non-coding RNA, 167 nt
Filed under: Sander lucioperca (pikeperch)
Lineage: Eukaryota; Metazoa; Chordata; Actinopteri; Perciformes; Percidae
Description: lncRNA (ENSSLUG00000009639.1)
Source: RNAcentral
GGGAGAUCACCAAGAGGGAGAAACAGCAGGUCAUAAAGCGUGUGCAUGAAGACUGCUCCAGGGUGAGAAGCGACAUGUGCCAGGCACUGAGCAUACAGCACUACCUGGCCUCACUGCUGGCAGAGACGGACCCCUUCCUGCUCAUCUGGGUUACUAGCCGACCUGAA